GUAUGGGGUUAAAUAUGUUAAAAUUUUUAAAACUUAAUCCUAAAUUGACAAAAGCAUAGCUAAUAAUGAUAGCUGAGGUGAAUAUUAGUUCACUGAUACCCUUUUCUUGUAAGUAUUUUAUUCUAGAUUUAAAAUUUUGCCCGAAAUUUAAUAGGGGGUGUCAGAAUCAGCCCCGAAAAGUGAAUGCUCUGCUUCUAGUAUUUGAAGAAGAAUUUUUUUUUGGAAAAAAAAUGUGUCGUUUAAUUUUUUCAUAAAACACAAGCAUUUGGAGUGCUAUACUAGUCGGUUGUUCUUGCAAAAUUUUUUUAAAAUUUAACCGUUAGAUUUUUUGGUAUUUAAGUUUAAAGUACCCCCAUCCUCAAAUUGGUUCAUUAAAUAAGGGCAAAAUCUAUUCAAAAAGUG
This 402-nucleotide long non-coding RNA is filed under the name Mytilus galloprovincialis (Mediterranean mussel). Lineage: Eukaryota; Metazoa; Mollusca; Bivalvia; Mytilida; Mytilidae. The record is from RNAcentral.